RNAcentral lists this ribosomal RNA (515 nucleotides) under uncultured Paraglomeraceae. RNAcentral describes it as "bacterial SSU rRNA". It matches the Rfam family "Eukaryotic small subunit ribosomal RNA", at positions 569 to 1078 of the family's 1831-position model. The record is from RNAcentral. Lineage: Eukaryota; Fungi; Glomeromycota; Glomeromycetes; Paraglomerales.
AGCAGCCGCGGUAAUUCCAGCUCCAAUAGCGUAUAUUAAAGUUGUUGCAGUUAAAAAGCUCGUAGUUGAACUUCAGGCCUGUCCAGACGGUCCGCCUUAAUUGGUGUGUACUGUCCUUGGGUGGGUCCUACCUUCUGGCGAAGCGGCAUGGCCUUAAUUGGUUGUGUCGGGGAACCAGGACUUUUACUGUGAAAAAUUAGAGUGUUCAAAGCAGGCAAAUAUGCUCGAAUACAUUAGCAUAGAAUAAUGGAAUAGGACGAUGGUUCUAUUUUGUUGGUUCUAGGACCGUUGUAAUGAUUAAUAGGGAUAGUUGGGGGCAUUAGUAUUCAAUUGUCAGAGGUGAAAUUCUUGGAUUUAUUGAAGACUAACUACUGCGAAAGCAUUUGCCAAGGAUAGUUUUCAAUUAAUACAAAGAACGUAAAGUUAAGGGGAUACGAAGACGAUCAAGAUACCGUGUAGUCUUAACCAUAAACUAUGACCGACUAGGAAUCGGGCAGUGUUGACAAAAUGACUCG